Arachis stenosperma is the source of this 107-nucleotide small nucleolar RNA. Lineage: Eukaryota; Viridiplantae; Streptophyta; Magnoliopsida; Fabales; Fabaceae. The record is from RefSeq and is a predicted model, not a curated record.
AACAUAUUAUCAGGACAUUUUUUGAGCAUCUCCUUAAACCUUUCCCAAGUUCCAUAUAAGGACUCUCCUUCUUGUUGUUUAAAGGUUUAGACAUCGGUUCUGAGCUU